This 504-nucleotide ribosomal RNA is filed under the name uncultured bacterium. RNAcentral describes it as "partial 16S ribosomal RNA". It matches the Rfam family "Bacterial small subunit ribosomal RNA", at positions 28 to 523 of the family's 1533-position model. The record is from RNAcentral.
GAUGAACGCUAGCGGCAGGCCUAAUACAUGCAAGUCGAACGGGAUCUGAGGGUAGCUUGCUACCCGAUUUGAGAGUGGCGCACGGGUGCGUAACGCGUGAGCAACCUACCCAUAUCAGGGGGAUAGCCCGAAGAAAUUCGGAUUAACACCGCAUAAUAAUACGCUAACACAUGUUAAUGUAUUUAAAUAUUUAUAGGAUAUGGAUGGGCUCGCGUGACAUUAGCUAGUUGGUAAGGUAACGGCUUACCAACGCGACGAUGUCUAGGGGCGCUGGGAGAAGAAUCGCCAAAACAGGUAAUGAGAAACGGACCAGACGCCUACGGGAGGCAGCAGUAAGGAAUAUUGGUCAAUGGGCGCAAGCCUGAACCAGCCAUGCCGCGUGCAGGAUGACUGCCCUAUGGGUUGUAAACUGCUUUUGUUCGGGAAUAAACCUACUUAUGUAUAAGUAGCUGAAUGUACCUAAAGAAUAAGGAUCGGCUAACUCCGUGCCAGCCGCCGCAGUAA